RNAcentral lists this ribosomal RNA (452 nucleotides) under uncultured Sphingobacteriales bacterium. RNAcentral describes it as "bacterial SSU rRNA". It matches the Rfam family "Bacterial small subunit ribosomal RNA", at positions 930 to 1382 of the family's 1533-position model. Lineage: Bacteria; Pseudomonadati; Bacteroidota; Sphingobacteriia; Sphingobacteriales. The record is from RNAcentral.
CGGAGGAGCAUGUGGUUUAAUUCGAUGAUACGCGAGGAACCUUACCUGGGCUCGAACGUAAGAUGACUGUAGGUGAAAGCUUACAUCUCUUCGGAGCAUUUUACGAGGUGCUGCAUGGUUGUCGUCAGCUCGUGCCGUGAGGUGUCGGGUUAAGUCCCAUAACGAGCGCAACCCCUACCUUUAGUUGCCAUCAGGUUAAGCUGGGGACUCUAAAGGAACUGCCUACGCAAGUAGUGAGGAAGGCGGGGAUGACGUCAAAUCAGCACGGCCCUUACGUCCAGGGCUACACACGUGCUACAAUGGCCGAUACAGAGGGCAGCUACCUGGUGACAGGAUGCAAAUCUCCAAAGUCGGUCUCAGUUCGGAUCGGAGUCUGCAACCCGACUCCGUGAAGUUGGAUUCGCUAGUAAUCGCGCAUCAGCCAUGGCGCGGUGAAUACGUUCCCGGGCCUU